This is a non-coding RNA of Salmo salar (Atlantic salmon), 72 nucleotides long. The record is from Rfam. Lineage: Eukaryota; Metazoa; Chordata; Actinopteri; Salmoniformes; Salmonidae.
UCCCAUAUGGCUCAGUUGGUAGAGCAUGGCACAUGCAAUGCCAGGGUUGUGGGUUCAAUUCCCAUAGGGGAC